CCAACGGCCCUCUUUAGGGCCACAUUGUUCUGUUCGAAUACAUGU
Oesophagostomum dentatum (nodular worm) is the source of this 45-nucleotide non-coding RNA. NCBI's taxonomy places the organism in Eukaryota, Metazoa, Nematoda, Chromadorea, Rhabditida, Strongylidae. The record is from Rfam.